CCUGGCUCAUGAGAUGAUGCAUGCAUGGAUGCGACUUAAAGGUGCAUUUUCUUCUUCUGUGAUUUAUAAAAUCAGUUUAUUUGUCUUUCUUAAAAUUCACAUCAUAAUUUCAAGUAUAGGCCUCCAUUGUAUUAUGAUUCUUGUGAUGGCUUUGUAGUAAUAGCAAUUUGCACGAUGUUAAUUGACAUAAAACCCGAUAAUUUCAUUUUUGCUAUGCGUUAAUCUUGGGG
RNAcentral lists this unclassified non-coding RNA (230 nucleotides) under Hevea brasiliensis (rubber tree). Lineage: Eukaryota; Viridiplantae; Streptophyta; Magnoliopsida; Malpighiales; Euphorbiaceae. The record is from RNAcentral.